GAGUGAUAUUAGACCUAUGUUGGGUUUAUUUAUAUAAAUCUAUACUCGACUGCUCUGUGUUUGUUUUUUGGAGGGGGGGGCAGUGAGUCAAAGCAGACGCUAUUGCCUCGCUAAAAAAGUAUAACCUUCUCUAGCGGAGGAAUCAGCUCUCAAACUACAAAACCCAGGGCAACUAACUGAACGUCGUGAAGGAUCUAGCUACGCAUGGUCGUUAUUUGAUACGUGGAACAUCGGACAGAGACUUGCUAGUAGCUACAUAGCUAACUAUAGCCAUGAAUCAGAUGCAGGACGGGUGGGAGAAAUUAAUAGGCGAAUAUCGCAGCCAAUCACAACACUGGCGCUUGGCCAUCUAGUGGGAAAGGGCGAGGCUAUACGGACACGCCUGCUGCCCAAAUGAAUGAAUGAUGUAUGUCGUGCAGCUGAAAGUCGUGGAGACCAUUGGAUUCGGGUUCAGUCAGGCGUCCUGAAGAGCCCUUCCCCACUUCCCAGCAAGCUAGUUUCUGCUCGCUAGCUGGUGUCGUGGAAAAUUGUCUUAAGAAUAACACUUCUUACAAGAACUUGUAAAUUCAAUAUAGACUUUAAUACAGAGUAAUAAAGCCGAGCCGGUCCGCGGACAUCAACUGCCUUCCUUAGGCCCCGGCUCUGCUUUUAUGCACAUACAAUACAUAGGUCCAUCCUUUAUGUAAAUGAAGUAAAACCCCCUAUGCGUUCUGCCACCUUUUUCUUUCAACCCAAUGGAUAACGCCCAUAUCUGCUUUUAGCUCUAACAUAGUAGUGGCUGGAUAACGCCCAUAUCUGCUUUUAGCUCUAACAUAGUAGUGGCUGGACUCUCCUCAUAAGGAUAUGAAAAUAAUGCAUGCAUUGCAUGCUUACGCUUGGCAUAUAUUUAGUCAUGGCCAUACAUUCAGCUUGCCUGGCCGUUGUGUGGUUCCUACUUGGGGAUGUAUGGCCACCUGUUAUCUCCACUCAGGGACAAUGCUAGCCCGCACCCCUCCGCCCUCCCAGAAUCCCUGUGUAGUGCCUCUUCUGGUAGCGCCUUACUGCUGGGUCUGAAGAGGGUGACUGUGCGGCUGGUCGACUGCAGGAAAACAACGGGGCUGAGUGGAACUACAAGACGAGGAGACAAGGAGGAAGAGGGAGAUUUGACUGAUCAAAGUAAAAGACUGCUGGGUCUGAAGAGGGUGUCUGUGCGGCUGGUCGACUGCAGGAAAACAACGGGGCUGAGUGGACCUAUGAGAGGAGGAGGAGAAGAAGAUGACGAGGGAGAUUUGACUGAUCAAAAUAAGUAGGAUGUUUAUGUAGGAGCAGAAUGUGUUUACUUUGGACUUCAACCUUCACAUUACUAAUAUGAAGAAGACGCAGAAGAAGCAGCUGCUAUCCUACUAGGAGCAUGAAACACGACUCAUCUCCUGGCGGCACACAACAUUUAAAAUAAAAUGUUUUUAUAAUAAAUAUUCUGCACUGGCAUUUGAACAAAAUACUAAUAUUCUGACCAUUAUGAGUAACUUCAUUGUGUAGUAGAUCUUAAAUAAUCCUUAAAUGUGAUUAGGAAGUGGAAUCUGGACCAGUGGUGAGAAUCCUCAUUCAACAUUAACAUGAUUAGGAAGUGGAAUCUGGACCAACAGAUCUUACAGGAAGUACAGGUCGUAAAAACAUUGUCUUGAGACGCCAUGACACGUCAAGACAUAAGAAAACUAUAUUUAGGGAAGUGUCUUCAAGACAUUUUCUAGGCUCUUCCCGACAGCUAAAGGGAUUCUCUACUUUACGCUCAGUCUCUGCUCUACUCAUUUGGCUAAUCAGAGAACAGGCUACUCUGGAAAGAAUUGUUAAAUCAAAGCUCAAUCGAUGUCCUCAAGAUCACAUAAUGAUAGGAUUCUACAUAACAGAACCGAAUAUAAACAGAACACACAGAGACUGUGUGUGUAAAGUAGAGAAUCCCGUACAUCCACAUGUGCAGAAGCUUCAGGACAUUUAGCUGUCGGGAAGAGGGGUCCGGAAAAGUCGGACCUGUAGCCACUCCGUUUUUUAUAUUAGUGGUUUGAGAGAUGCCAUGAAAUGUUUUAAGACAUACAUUUUGAAGACAUGUCUUGAGACAUAAUGGCAUCUUAAGAUGUCUUUAAAAAAGUAUAUGUCUUGAAGUGUCUCAAGAUGUCUCAACUUGUGACGGCUGGGUAUGUAGGUUUCUAAACGAUCAGGAACACAUUUUCGCAGUCUUCACUUUGGACUUCCAUAGUCCGAUUGUGUUAGAAAACCAUUUUUGGUGAAAGGUGGUAAUAAAGGGAACAAAGACGGUGUGAUGAACGUUUACAUUUUACAUUUACGUCAUUUAGCAGACGCUCUUAUCCAGAGCGACUUACAACAUAUCUUCUGUCGUUGGCUUUUAUCCUUUUAUGGAAAUAGGGAGAAUGUGCAUUUUAUAGCUAAUAAAAGUGUUGAACAAAUUGUUGCUAGUUCUGAGUAACUUAAACAUCAGCUCUUUGUUGUAUUCGUUGAGUCUUUCUCUAGUCAUGUUUUUCAAAGUUUUGAAAUCUCACAAUAUCCAAUUGGCUGUGCGUUCGAGGUUUCUUUUUACAGUCUAUGGCUCGUGGGAACUGCAGACACAGUGAUCUGAGCUAUCUGAUUGGCCAGUGGUAGGCCUAUAGGUGCACUUGAUUUGCUCUCUGGGCCUGUCAGGUAGGCGUAGUUCUACCUUCAAACACAUUAAAUGGUUAAAAUGGGAACACGUUGCCUUCCCGGUGCUAGGGCUGUUGAAUUUGGGUGCACAUACAACCAACAGCGCGCAACGAAUAAAAAAUAAAUGGGAACAGGUUUUAUCUUAGUUUUUUUUACAGAAAUGUUUAGUGAUCAACUAGGAAUGCCUUUGAGGUCGACCAGUCGGUGACCACUGUAGUAAGAUGUUCUCUCAAUUGGCAAG
Molecule: long non-coding RNA, 2914 nt
Filed under: Salmo salar (Atlantic salmon)
Lineage: Eukaryota; Metazoa; Chordata; Actinopteri; Salmoniformes; Salmonidae
Description: lncRNA (ENSSSAG00000095930.1, ENSSSAG00000107674.1)
Source: RNAcentral